GAUGAACGCUGGCGGCGUGCUUAACACAUGCAAGUCGAACGGACAGGCGCUGCUUUUGUGGCGUUCUCGAUUGCCGCACGGGUGUGUGACACGUGAGUAUCCUCCCCUUAACUGUCGGAUAACUUCUGGAGAAUGGGGAUAAUACCCGGUAUAAUAUCCUGCUGCAUAGUGUUGGUUAGAAAAUUUCGGCUGUUGGGGAUCGACUCGCGGCUUAUCAGCUUGUUGGUGUGGUAGUGGCGUACGAGGGCUUUGACGGGUAGCCUGCCUGAGAGCGUGACCGGCCACAUUGGGACUGAGGUAGGGACCAGACGCGUACGGGACGCAGUAGGCGGGAAUAUGGCAGAACGGGGCGAAGUCAGAGGUAGCAACCUCGGGUGCGUGAUGACGGGCUAUGGGUUGUAAACCGAUUUGGACGGUGAUGAAGAGUGAGUGACGGUAACUGGUAAAGAAGCACCGGCUAACUACGUG
Molecule: ribosomal RNA, 468 nt
Filed under: uncultured bacterium
Lineage: Bacteria
Description: partial 16S ribosomal RNA
Rfam family: Bacterial small subunit ribosomal RNA
Source: RNAcentral